CCAAAAUUAGUCAAAGUCCAAUUUUUUUUUACAAAUAAUAAAAUAACCCAAUUAACCCAAAUAAAUCCUCAAACCCAAUAAAAAUAUAAAACCCAAUUAGCCCAAAUAACCCAUUACCCCAAGCCCAAAACACUAAGGAUUUUUUCGGCAGAAACCCUAGAAGUUUCAGCCACCGCAGCCUCUAGUCGAUUCUUCCACUCGUGCCAUGCUCCACGAACGACUCCUCCACGCCAUACACACCUGCAACAGAAAAUAACCACAAGCAAUGGACAGCAAAUGAGAUGAAAUUUGUAUUUUUUAUUUUAUUUAUUUAUUUUUGUUUUUCGGCUAUAAAACCGAGAAAAAACGGUGUAAAUGGUUUUUUUUUCUUUUUUCUUCUUGUCACAAAUAGCAGAGAAAUAUAUGCAGAUACUAAAAAUCCAUUCGAAAUUAGCUUUAAGGUAAUUUUAGAUUGUAUUCUUCUUUGAUUUUCAUUUCUGUUUCGUCAUUCUUUAUCUAUUGCAUGAAAAUAAAUUUAUAAGAAAGAAAAGAAAGAAAGAAGACUUAUCUGUUGUUGAAGGAGGCUUUGAACUCCUUGUUUGCUUCGUCGAAACUGAAAUCAAGGCGAAGAUUUUGAAGCCUAUGAGUAAGGCUUUCAGAUUUGUGGUCGAACGGGACUAAACUUGGCCCUUGUUUCAUGGCCGUUGGCUGAAUAUGGAGGCAAAGCAGCAGUGGAAAGGUCUCUUAGGUUCGGCCAAGUAAAUAGGGAAUAGGUUUUAGGGUAUUCUUUUUUUAUUUUAAUUGGCAUUUAAAUAGCUGCAUAUUGAAUUUUAGUUUUUUAGAAUUGAUUGUAUGCAGAAUUCAAAACGGUGACAUAAGCUGGAUCCACGCUUUGGUGCUUCAGAUGGUUAAUUUGCGCAUAUAGUCCUUUUCUUUCGCAUUGACUUUUUAAUUAGUCCUUAUUCACAUUUUAUUUGUUUUAAAUUUCUCCUUAGAAUUUGCGCGGCAUUUCAGUUUAGCCCGAAUUUAAACAUUGUGCUUUGAGACUCGGUAUAUUUCCAGUUUCGAUCCCUGCACAUUCUCGCACAUUGCAUUGUAGUUCUUUUUUUGAUUUCAAUAGUUUAAGUUAUUAAUUAUCCCUUUCAUUUUAA
RNAcentral lists this long non-coding RNA (1130 nucleotides) under Gossypium barbadense (sea-island cotton). RNAcentral describes it as "long non-coding RNA (GBAR_LNC003000)". The record is from RNAcentral. Lineage: Eukaryota; Viridiplantae; Streptophyta; Magnoliopsida; Malvales; Malvaceae.